This 465-nucleotide ribosomal RNA is filed under the name uncultured bacterium. RNAcentral describes it as "partial 16S ribosomal RNA". It matches the Rfam family "Bacterial small subunit ribosomal RNA", at positions 28 to 507 of the family's 1533-position model. The record is from RNAcentral.
GACGAACGCUGGCGGCGUGCUUAACACAUGCAGGUCGAACGGAAAGGCCCUGCUUGCCGGGUACUCGAGUGGCGAACGGGUGAGUAACACGUGGGUGAUCUGCCCUGCACUUCGGGAUAAGCCUGGGAAACUGGGUCUAAUACCGGAUAGGAGCCAUUUUUAGUGUGAUGGUUGGAAAGUUUUUUCGGUGUAGGAUGAGCUCGCGGCCUAUCAGCUUGUUGGUGGGGUAAUGGCCUACCAAGGCGGCGACGGGUAGCCGGCCUGAGAGGGUGGACGGCCACAUUGGGACUGAGAUACGGCCCAGACUCCUACGGGAGGCAUCAGUGGGGAAUAUUGCACAAUGGGCGCAAGCCUGAUGCAGCGACGCCGCGUGGGGGAUGACGGCCUUCGGGUUGUAAACUCCUUUCGCUAGGGACGAAGCUUUUUGUGACGGUACCUAGAUAAGAAGCACCGGCUAACUACGUG